GAGUUUGAUCAUGGCUCAGGAUAAACGCUGGCGGCGUGCCUAACACAUGCAAGUCGAACGUCCUGUGGUCCGCAAGGACUACAGGGAGUGGCAGACGGGUGAGGAACACGUGGGGACCUACCCCGUGGUGAGGAAUACCGGCGAGAAAUCGCCGACAAGACCGCAUAGGCUUGGCUGUUGCAAGCCAAGCAAAGCUCCCGCAAGGGGGCGCCACGGGAGGGGCUCGCGCCCGAUUAGUUGGUUGGUGGGGUAACGGCUCACCAAGACGACGAUCGGUAGCUGGUCUGAGAGGAUGAUCAGCCACACUGGGAUUGAGAACGGCCCAGACUCCUACGGGGGGCAGCAGUGAGGAAUUUUCCGCAAUGGAGGCAACUCUGACGGAGCAACGCCGCGUGCAGGAGGACGGUCUUCGGAUUGUAAACUGCUUUUCUCGGGGACGAGUACGGACGGUACCUGAGGAACAAGCCCCGGCUAACUACGUGCCAGCAGCCGCGGUAAUACGUAGGGGGCCAGCGUUGUCCGGAGUUACUGGGCGUAAAGGGCCCGCAGGCGGUGCGGCGCAUUCCCGGUUCCAGCCGGUCGCUUAACGACCGGAGCGCCGGGACGAUGGCCGGACUUGAGCCCCAGAGAGGGACACGGAACUCCGGGUGGAGCGGUGAAAUGCGUAGAGAUCCGGAAGAACACCAAAGGCGAAGGCAGUGUCCUGGCUGGGGGCUGACGCUGAGGGGCGAGAGCUAGGGGAGCGAACGGGAUUAGAUACCCCGGUAGUCCUAGCCGUAAACGAUGACCACCAGGUGUGCGAGGGAUCGACCCCUUGCGCGCCGUCGCUAACGCAGUAAGUGGUCCGCCUGGGGAGUACGGUCGCAAGAUUAAAACUCAAAGGAAUUGACGGGGACCCGCACAAGCAGCGGAGCGUGUGGUUUAAUUCGAUGCAACGCGAAGAACCUUACCAGGGGUUGACAUGUCGUCGCACCGUCCAGAGAUGGGCGUGCCCGCAAGGGACGGCGACACAGGUGCUGCAUGGCUGUCGUCAGCUCGUGCCGUGAGGUGUUGGGUUAAGUCCCGCAACGAGCGCAACCCUCAUUGCCGGUUGAAGCUGUCCGGCGAGACUGCCACGAUCAACGUGGAGGAAGGUGGGGAUGACGUCAAGUCAGCACGGCCCUGACCUCCUGGGCGACACACACGCUACAAUGGUCCAGACAACGAGUCGCCAACCCGCGAGGGGGAGCCAAUCUCAGCAAACUGGAUCUCAGUUCAGAUUGGAGGCUGCAACCCGCCUCCAUGAAGUCGGAGUUGCUAGUAACCGUGAGUCAGCACAUCACGGUGAAUACGUUCCCGGGUCUUGUACACACCGCCCGUCACACCACGAAAGUCGGCAACACCUGAAGCCGCUGGGCUAACCCAGACGGGAGGCAAGCGUCGAGGGUGGGGUCGGUGAUUGGGGUGAAGUCGUAACAAGGUAGC
This 1464-nucleotide ribosomal RNA is filed under the name uncultured Ktedonobacterales bacterium. RNAcentral describes it as "bacterial SSU rRNA". It matches the Rfam family "Bacterial small subunit ribosomal RNA". Lineage: Bacteria; Bacillati; Chloroflexota; Ktedonobacteria; Ktedonobacterales. The record is from RNAcentral.